GUCGAACGGACUCUUUAGGGAGUUAGUGGCGGACGGGUGAGUAAUGCGUAAGAAUCUAGCUUUAGGUCGGGGACAACAGUUGGAAACGGCUGCUAAUACCGGAUAUGCGGAAACGUGAAAGAUUAAUUGCCUAGAGAAGAGCUUGCGUCCGAUUAGCUAGUUGGUGGGGUAAGAGCCUACCAAGGCGUCGAUCGGUAACUGGUCUGAGAGGAUGAUCAGUCACACUGGAACUGAGACACGGUCCAGACUCCUACGGGAGGCAGCAGUGGGGAAUUUUCCGCAAUGGGCGAAAGCCUGACGGAGCAAUACCGCGUGAGGGAGGAAGGCUCUUGGGUUGUAAACCUCUUUUCUCAGGGAAGAAAAAAUGACGGUACCUGAGGAAUAAGCAUCGGCUAACUCUGUGCCAGCAGCCGCGGUAAUACAGAGGAUGCAAGCGUUAUCCGGAAUGAUUGGGCGUAAAGCGUCCGCAGGUGGUUUUGUAAGUCUGCUGUUAAAGCGUGCAGCUUAACUGCAUAAAGGCGGUGGAAACUACAAGACUAGAGUACGUUAGGGGUAGAGGGAAUUCCCAGUGUAGCGGUGAAAUGCGUAGAGAUUGGGAAGAACACCAGUGGCGAAGGCGCUCUGCUAGGACUGUACUGACACUGAGGGACGAAAGCUAGGGGAGCGAAUGGGGAUUAGAUACNNCCAGUAGUCCUAGCCGUAAACGAUGGAUACUAGGCGUUGUCUGUAUCGACCCGAGCCGUGCCGAAGC
RNAcentral lists this ribosomal RNA (751 nucleotides) under uncultured cyanobacterium. RNAcentral's name for it is "bacterial SSU rRNA". It matches the Rfam family "Bacterial small subunit ribosomal RNA", at positions 61 to 852 of the family's 1533-position model. The record is from RNAcentral. Lineage: Bacteria; Bacillati; Cyanobacteriota.